RNAcentral lists this long non-coding RNA (1197 nucleotides) under Pan troglodytes (chimpanzee). RNAcentral describes it as "long non-coding RNA NONPTRT003428". The record is from RNAcentral. Lineage: Eukaryota; Metazoa; Chordata; Mammalia; Primates; Hominidae.
UUGGCAACCUGCUCGGGUCCCCUUCCACACUGUGGAAGCUUUGUUCUUUCACUCUUUGCAAUAAAUCUUGCUACUGCUCGCUCUUUGGGUCCAUGCUGCUUUUAUGAGCUGUAACACUCACCGCGAAGAUCUGCAGCUUCACUCCUGAGCCCAGCAAGACCACGAGCCCACCGGGAGGAACGAACAACUCCAGACGCGCUACCUUAAGAGCUGUAAUACUCACUGUGAAGGUCUGCAGCUUCACUCCUGAGCCAGCGAGACCACGAACCUACCAGAAGGAAGAAACUCCGAACACAUCUGAACAUCAGAAGGGACAGACUCCAGACGUGCUGCCUUACGAGCUGUAACACUCACCGCGAGGGUCCGCGGCUUCAUUCUUGAGAAGAUGAUAGAUGCAGACAUCACCACCAUUCUCCCUUAUACCAUCAUUCUCUUUUAUGUGAAAGUUGCCAGAAUCAAAAUGGAGUCACUAAUGUUUAAAGAAAGAAGAGCCCUGACAAAUCGAGCCACAGAAGGCCAUGAAGAGAAGGUUCUUUAUGCUUGUAUGCCUCACAAAAAAGACUCUGGAAAAAUCGUAUCCUUGCACAGAAGCCACCAGAAAUUUCCAUAAAAAACACUGCAAGAACAUCUGCCCCCGAACUGCCUGUCCAACCUGGACUGACAUCAUCCUUGUUAUUGAUCUUUGUAGCCAAAUAUAAUUAUUUUAAAACAAUUGUGCAAUUCGCCUCUUUUCUUUAAAAAUCUUUGUCUUCCUUUACCUCCCUGAAUAUGCACAUAGUUUACUAUGACGGGUAUAUUCUCAUUGCAAUACUCUAUUCCCAAAUAAAUGUCUUUUUCUUUUAGAGAGCCUCCCUUUGUUAUUUAGGUUGACUUAUAUGGUGUCACUUGAAAGUGAUGUCUGGAUCCGCAGCAACCAUCUUACAACCUUGAAGUGACAAGCUGGAAGAAAAGGCCAGAAGAUGCACAUAGAGUUUAAUCCUGACAGAGAUGAGUUACUGAAGCAAUGCCAGUGACCUCCUAUCCGCUAAUUUACUAUUACUUAACAAACUUUUUUCUUUUUUUUUUUUGAGACAGGGUCUCGCUCUGUCACCCAGGCUGGAGUGCAGUGUUGUGAUCUCAGCUCACUGCAAACUCCAUCUCCCAGGUUCAAGCGAUUCUCAUGCUUCAGCCUCCUGAUUAGCUGGGAUUACAGGUGCG